CCUGCGGAAGGAUCAUUGUCGUAACCUGCUAAAGCAAAACAACCUGCGAACAUGUACUUACAUUCGGGGAUCCAAGUGCGUUUGCUUCGGCGGAUGCUCUUUCUUCCCAACGUUGAGAUGGCUCGGCAUGUGCUUGCUUACCAACGAAGCAUUCGUUGAGAGUUGGCACUUACUGAGCUUUCUCGACAUAACAAAAACCCGGCGUGAACUGCGCCAAGGAACAUAAUAAGAGCGUGCAUUCUCCCGGUGUUUGCUUUUGCUUCACUCGGAUGGAUGUCAUCUUCUUGAUGAGUUUAUAAUGACUCUCGGCAACGGAUAUCUCGGCUCUUACAUCGAUGAAGAACGUAGCAAAAUGCGAUACUUGGUGUGAAUUGCAGAAUCCCGUGAACCAUCGAGUCUUUGAACGCAAGUUGCGCCCGAAUCCUUUCGGUGGAGGGCACGUCUGCCUGGGUGUCACGUACACACGUCUCUCACAAACCUUUCCCUUCAUGGGCGAAGGGUCUUGCGUGAGCGGAGUUUGGUAUCCCGUGCUUGUAUUGUGCGGCUUACCUAAAAAUUGAGAGCCAGUGAUGAAACUUCACGUCUAGUGGUGGUUAAGGAACCUUCAUGGGUCAAACCAGUUCGCGGCGUGAAUGUUUGUCACUUGGAAAGUUCUCUACCGACACCUUGAACGUCUUUUAAUGACCGUUCUACU
This 694-nucleotide unclassified non-coding RNA is filed under the name Saxifraga derbekii. Its description in RNAcentral is "sequence contains ITS1, 5.8S rRNA gene, ITS2". The stretch from base 301 to 456 matches the Rfam family "5.8S ribosomal RNA". Lineage: Eukaryota; Viridiplantae; Streptophyta; Magnoliopsida; Saxifragales; Saxifragaceae. The record is from RNAcentral.